GGGGUCCAUCCUGAGAUCAGCACUGGGCACAGACCUCCACCAUGGAGGGGGCUCUGACCUGGGUUUUCCUUGUGGCCAUUUUACAAGGUGUGCAGUGUGAGGUGCGGCUGGUGGAGUCUGGGGGAGGCUUGGUGCAGCCUGGGAGGUCCCUGAGACUCUCCUGUGCAGCCUCCGGAUUCACCUUCAGUGAUUACUACAUGCACUGGGUCCGCCAGGCUCCAGGGAAGGGGCUGGAGUGGGUGGCGGUUAUAUGGUAUGAUGGAAGCCAGCAAAAAUACAUGGAGUCUGUGAAGGGCCGGUUCACCAUCUCCAGAGACAACUCCAAGAACAUGCUGUACCUGCAAAUGAACAGCCUGAAAGCAGAGGACACGGCUACGUAUUACUGUGCUGCACACAGUGCAUGGAGUUCAGUGAGAGCCCAGACACAAACCUCCCUGCAUUGGUUCCACUGUCUGUCUGCCCUGCCUGUGCUCAUCCUAUCCCAGUUCUCCUCUGUAUCUGCCCUGCCUGUGCUCAUCCUAUGCCAGGUCCACUCUGUGUCUGCCUUGCCUGUACUCAUCCUACUCCAGUUCGACUCUGUAUCUGCCCUGCCACUGUGA
Non-coding RNA from Dipodomys ordii (Ord's kangaroo rat), 599 nucleotides. NCBI's taxonomy places the organism in Eukaryota, Metazoa, Chordata, Mammalia, Rodentia, Heteromyidae. The record is from the annotation of a RefSeq genome assembly.